RNAcentral lists this ribosomal RNA (430 nucleotides) under Pseudomonadota bacterium. Its description in RNAcentral is "Proteobacteria bacterium partial 16S ribosomal RNA". It matches the Rfam family "Bacterial small subunit ribosomal RNA", at positions 355 to 776 of the family's 1533-position model. The record is from RNAcentral. Lineage: Bacteria; Pseudomonadati; Pseudomonadota.
UGGGGAAUAUUGGACAAUGGGGGGAACCCUGAUCCAGCCAUGCCGCGUGUGUGAAGAAGGCCUUAUGGUUGUAAAGCACUUUAAGCGAGGAGGAGGGUACUGGUAUUAAUACUACCAGGUACUGGACGUUACUCGCAGAAUAAGCACCGGCUAACUCUGUGCCAGCAGCCGCGGUAAUACAGAGGGUGCGAGCGUUAAUCGGAUUUACUGGGCGUAAAGCGUGCGUAGGCGGCUAAUUGAGUCGGAUGUGAAAUCCCCGAGCUUAACUUGGGAAUUGCAUUCGAUACUGGUUAGCUAGAGUGUGGGAGAGGAUGGUGGAAUUCCAGGUGUAGCGGUGAAAUGCGUAGAGAUCUGGAGGAAUACCGAUGGCGAAGGCAGCCAUCUGGCCUAACACUGACGCUGAGGUACGAAAGCAUGGGGAGCAAACAGG